This is an RNA transcript of Felis catus (domestic cat), 5761 nucleotides long. It is a transcript of the gene named lectin, mannose binding 1 like, with no coding region annotated. The transcript has 14 exons. Lineage: Eukaryota; Metazoa; Chordata; Mammalia; Carnivora; Felidae. The record is from RefSeq and is a predicted model, not a curated record.
CAGCAGCAUUCCAGGAAGAGAGGCUGGGACAGGAGGCAGGACAGCUUGUUCUGAGGUCUCCGGGAAGAUGGUGAAGAUGGGCGGUGCCUUGAGGUGGACAGGGAGGCUGGGGCAAGGGUUUGGCUUUUAUCACACUGAGAGCCACGGGGAGCCCGUGACAGUUCUGAGCUCCUGGUGAAGUUCCAGGGAGCACAGUGAGGACUGAUCAGUGUGGGAGAGGACGGUGGGAGUGGAUGGCCUCCAGAGGGAUAUAAGGGAAAGCUGAGCGAACUUGCCAAUGGAUUCAUAAUGUAGGCGAAGGAGGGAGAGGAGCCACUGUGACCCCUGAUAAGCAGGAUGGCUGGGGGUGGGGGGUGCACCAGGAGACUCCUCUUCUGGAGGAAACAUCUUGAGUUCUGUUCAGGACGUGCUGAGUUUCAGGCGUGCCUGUGAACUGCCAAGAGGCAAUGAGCAAGUUGUUGGAACCCAGAGGCUGGAGAGGGGAAUCUGAGAGUUAUCAGCGUGUGGCUUGGAUCUAAAGCCAUGGACAAGGAGGAGGUCACUGUGGGAGGACGUGCAGAAGAGGAGAGGUCCCAGGACCAUGCCUGGGGGAGCGCUUAACAUUCAAAGGCCUAGGAGAGGAGGCUGACCAGGCCAGAUACAGAGAGGAAGGCAGCAGAGUGCCCUGUGACAGGUGAGCGACAAGCCAGCAGGUCCCCUCUUCCCAGAAGACCGGAGCCCGCUGCCGGUGUUAGCCAUGAGGAGGUUGCCGGUGACUUCAGCAAAACCUGGGUUUGCAGGGGUGCAGAUUUGAGGCCUCACUAGAGGAGGGUGUGAGCGAUGUGGGAAGGUCGCCAGUUUGGGGAGAUCCAGCUGUAAGAAGAGGAAAGAGGAUGAGGUAGAAGAUUGGAAGGAGGCAGAGGCGUGGGCAGAUCCGAUGCCAAAGGAAAUGACAUUUACCUUCUGGCCGCACCCAUGUGCUGAGCAGACAGAGAAGAUAGAGGUGCAGGGAUGGUGAUGAUCGAAGGGGAGCCUUCCUUAGAGCACAAGGGCGUGUGCCUGCAAUGGGAGCCCGUGUCCUGAUGAAGGACAGAGGGACCCAUGGGCGACGCCCCGGUGACAAUAAUAAUCAGACCCCGGGUGGCAUGGCAGGGAGUUCUGGUUUGGAGUUUGCUGAUCCCCGUGGCGUACUCUCACCACGGCCAAUGUCAAGCUCCCAACCUGACUUCACUGGAGGCACAUUUGACCGUUGGCUCGGGUUCAGAAACCUGCAAUGGGCCACGGGAUCAGGAGCAGGAAGCAGGGAGGGGCAGGAAGGGGCAGUGUCCAGCAGAUGCUGGGCUGCGGGAACGCAGGCCCAGGUAGCCAGGUGCUCCCAAGCUUUCCGCCUGGUGGUAUGAGUCCUCCCCAUCCCUUCCUUACUUCCUUUCUCUCUCUUGGUUUAUGGCUUUUUUGUUCCCUCCUUUGUUUUCUCCCAUCCUUCUCUUCCGCUCUGCGCUGGACGCUGGCGUAUCAUAGACGAGCAAAAUGGAGUUCUUACCCUCAAGUUGUUCGUGACUAGUAGGGAUCCCACUCAGGCUCAACUUGGUGCCCAGAGGUCUGGUGAGGUGGAGGAGGCGAGAGGCGUUAGGUGGCUUCUCAGACAUGCAGAGGUCAGGCAGGGACAGAGAAUGAGGUGUUUCUGGCAAAUGAGGGGCACUGCCCAGGCCAAGGUGCUGAGGUGCCCUGGCCAGAUGACGUGCUUCAGCGUGGCUGGGCCCAAGGAGCCAAUGAGGGUCUUUUGGGAGGAAGUAAGUCUGGAGAGAGAACAGGGCCCAGGCCCACCUGGCUUUGCAGGCCCCAUGAAUUUAACCUCAUACAAAGGUGGCCAGGAGCAAUUGUGUUCAGGGACAAGCAAGGAGUGGUGUGGUCAGAUCUGCAUUUUAGAAAAAUAAUUCUGGUUAUAAUCUGGCCCUGGGGGUGGGAGCGUCCAGAGGGGGGACAGGGAGACAGCGAGGAGGCUAUGGUGGCCAGGCAGGAGGGGACUGGUGGUGGCCUGGACUGGGGAAGCCAUAGGAGGUGGAAGGAAGGUGAACACAGCUGACGUUUUACUGAGCUGAGUGCUCAGUGUCUGCCAGGCCCUGUGUUCUAAGCACAUUAGACAUACCGUCUCGCGUACCCCUCCAGUCGACUCUCGGGGCCCCAUUGUACAGAUAAAGAAAAGGCUUGGGGAUUAGAGGAUCAGGUAAGGCAAUAUAAGAGUAGCAAAAACAAAUUGAAGAGCUUGCUCAGGCUUGACAAGGUGGGGGUUGCCAUCCAUGAGACCCUAGCCCUGGACCAGGAUGGGCCAGAGGCUGGAGAACACGAGUUUCAUUUGGACAUGUUGUCUGGGGGCCUUUGUGACAUCCAAGCAGAGAGGUCCCCUGCAGAGUUAGACAUUCAUUCAGGCCUGAGGCUCUGGGAGAAGCCGGGUUGACUGUAAGAGGUUUGGGGAUCCAUGGCUAGAAGCCAUGGACGCAGGUGAACUUGGCCAGGGAGCACGUGGAGAGUGAAGAGAGGUGCAAACACAGGGAGCCCCGGUGUGUGGGGCCGGGAAGGAAGAGCAGUGGCAAAGGAGCAGCUAAGGGGGCCGUCAGAGGUAGGGGAGUCCUGCGGGGCACGAGGAGGCUUCUCAGAGCACAGGGGAGGGGAGACAAGGAAGCAGAUGUUCACGUCAUCCCUCAUUGCAGAGACAGGUUGAGAAGUAUGCACUAGAAACAAAGAACAGGGUCACCGUCAGGCCUGCUGGAGUGGUUUUCAUGGGGCAGUGGGGGCCGGAGCCAGAAGGGGACUGAGUGACAGGUGAGGGAGCGGGACCAGACUGGGGCCUGCCUUUCCGCAGCAUGGCCGUGGAGGUGAGGGGCGAGCGGGGGGAGGCGGCUGAGGGCUUACUUACUGUUGAGAAAUGAAGGUUUGCCUUUAGCAUGUCCUAAAAUUUUCCAUUUACAGCCUUGAUUUUAAUUAAUUGGUAGAGCUUCGGUAACUCCAUCCUACUGGGAACUUACAAAGUACAGUAAAACUUCAGCUAGCCAGAAUUCUUGGCAAACGAGCCACUCAGGAAAACGAACAUUUAUUGGCGUGAAAAGAUUUGAAAUAUAAGAUUUCUUUUUAAAAACAUUUUUAGUAUGGAUAUAAUCACAUAAACAUAUGCAGUAGGGAGAAGACUGUAAUGAACCCCCACAUCCUCACCAUCCCACGUGAAUAGUAGCUCCAGACCAGUCCUGUGCCCUCCACACCCCGCUGCCCCCAAACUCUGGGACACUUGGAAGCAAACCCUAGACAUUUUAUCACUUCAUUUGUACAGCUUUGGUACGUUUCUCUAAGAGACAAAACCUUUUUUAAAAACCGUGACCACAAUACCAUUAUCACGCCUAAAAUCUUUAACAAUAAUUCCUUAAUUUAAUCAAGCAUUCAUUGUUCGGAUUCCCCAACAGUUUCGAUUCCCCCCCCCCCCCCCAGUUGGUGGGUUAAAAUUAGGCUCCAAACAAGUCCACACAUGGCAUUUAUUUGCUCUGUCUGUUAAGACUCCCUUUCUUCUCUUCGUGUCAUUUGCGUGUUGAGGAAACCGGGCUGCCCGGAGGCAUGUGUGUUUGGGAAUGUGGGACAGAGCUGGGCACCACAGCGGAGCGAGCAGGACGGGGAAGUCCGGGGUUGGCAGGACGAUGACCAGAUAGUCGGGACACCUAGCUACGGGAAGGAGGCAGGAUGUGGAGGCCCGUCCUGAGCAAGGGGAGAGGCCAGAGCUGCUGAGGGCUGGGGCCUGUCCUCAUGAUCCCUGAGGCCUUACGGCUGCCGGAGCUGAAGAGAGGUGGAAAGAUGGCCAGGGCCCAGGAAUGGGGCAGAGCCAGGUGGGCGACAGGUCAGGGGUCAGGCUGGAGAUGAGGAAGGGGCUGGGCCUGAGGUCAGGCCUAGAAGGAACAGGAUGUCUGUUGGGGCUGAAGGGAGAGAGGGGAGUGCCAACAGAACCCAGCUCCUCCCCACCUGGCCCCGUCCCCAGGGCCCCUCCCCUGGCCUCCCAGCUGCGGCUCCACUCAGGGGCCCAGACACCAGUUCCCUUCACAAUGCUGGUGAUCAGGGGCCCUGAUCCCUUGUUCUGCCUUCUCCUCCUCCUGCUCGUGGGCCCCCACAACCCCGUGGGGGCCAGUCCUCCUCAGAGAAGGUUUGAGUAUAAGCUCAGCUUCAAAGGACCAAGACUGGCGUUGCCUGGGGCUGGAAUACCCUUCUGGAGCCAUCAUGGAGAUGCCAUACUGGGCCUGGAGGCAGUGCGGCUGGCCCCAUCCAUGCGGAACCGCAGCGGCGCCGUGUGGAGCAGGGCCCCUGUCCCCUUCUCUGCCUGGGAGGUGCAUGUGCAGAUGAGGGUGACCGGGCCAGGGCGGCGGGGAGCCCAGGGCAUGGCCGUGUGGUACACCCGGGGCAGGGGCCAAGUAGGCUCUGUCCUGGAGGGGCUGGCCUCGUGGGACGGCAUCGGGAUCCUCUUCGACUCCUCCACCGAGGAUACCCAGAACAGCCCCAUCAUCCGUGUACUGGCCAGUGAUGCGCACACUCGCUACGAGCCGCGUGGGGAUGCAGCCAGCGGGGUGCUGGGCUCCUGCCGCCGGGACUUCCGUAACCUGCCGAACCCCCUCAGAGUUCGGAUCACUUACUGGGGGCAGAGGCUGCGGGUGUCCUUGAACAGUGGCCUCACUCCCAACGACUUAGAUGAGGUCUGUGUUGACGUGGGUCCACUGCUUUUGGCUCCUGGAGGUUUCUUUGGGGUCUCGGCAGCCACGGGCACCCUGGCAGAUGACCAUGACAUCCUGUCCUUCCUGACCUUCAGUCUGAGUGAGCCGGAUCCAAAGCCUCCCCCACCGCCCUUUCUGGAGAUGGAGCAGCUCCGGCUGGUGAAGCAGCUGGCAGGGCUUCGGGCAAGGCUGGCCCUGGGCGCCAGGGAGGAUGUGAUCCCAAAGCUGAGCUCCGAAGUCCAGGAAGAGGGGAAAAGGAUCCUUGGCCUGGAAGAGACGCUGGGCAGACACCGCCAGAUCCUGCAGGCUCUCCAGGGUCUCUCCAGACAGUUGGCCCAGGCCGAGAGGCAGUGGAAGAAGCACCUGGGGACCCCAGGCCAUGCCAGGCCUGAGGGAGCCUGGGAUUCUGCCAAGGUCAGCGCCCUGCUCCGUGGACAGAGGUCUCUGCUCCAGGACCUGCAAGAGAUGAGGGAUGCAGCUGCCCACGUGGUCUCAAAAGCCCAGCUCUUCUAUCUGCCUGUGGGCACCAAGCAUCAUUUCUCAGAGCUGGCCCAGAUCCUGGGCCUCCUGCAGAAGGACCUUCGGGGCCCACUGAAAGCGGCAGCCAAGAACCGCCGCCCACCUGGCCAACCCCCAGGAGCCUCCUCGUGCCUGCGGCCCAGCAUCUUCUUGUUCUUCCUCCUCAUUCAGACUAUAGGCUUCUUCUGUUACGUGCACUUCAGUAGGCAGGAGCUGGACAAGAGCCUUCAGGACUGUUUGUCCACAGGCAGCCCUCCUCUGUGUCCUGCACCACGCAUUCCUGGCGCCCUGGGGAUUCUGAGGAGGCAGCCUCUCUCCUCCAGCAUACACGCAUGACUCACCUCAAAGCCCUGAAGGAAUCUCCCCAGGAAGUGGAUGGUGUCCAGGGGGUAGCUGGGAGUGGGCUCCAAGCGGGCAAGGACAUCAAGGACUGGUCUGAUUGCCAAAAGACCAGAUACCCCACAAGCCUCGAGCCCUGGACUAUGGAUCGAGAGGGAGUCACAACUGUGGUAAUUCUGUCCCCA